Molecule: ribosomal RNA, 380 nt
Filed under: uncultured eukaryote
Lineage: Eukaryota
Description: partial 18S ribosomal RNA
Rfam family: Eukaryotic small subunit ribosomal RNA
Source: RNAcentral
CAAUAGCGUAUAUUAAAGUUGUUGCGGUUAAAAAGCUCGUAGUUGGAUUUCUGUUGGGAACGACCGGUCCGCCCAUUGGGUGUGUAUCUGGCUUGUUCUCGGCAUCUUCUUGGUGAACGUUGCUGCACUUGACUGUGUGGAGCGCUACCCAGGACUUUUACUUUGAGGAAAUUAGAGUGUUUCAAGCAGGCAUAUGCCUUGAAUACAUUAGCAUGGAAUAAUAAGAUAGGACCUCGGUUCUAUUUUGUUGGUUUCUAGAGCUGAGGUAAUGAUUAAUAGGGAUAGUUGGGGGCAUUCGUAUUUAACGGUCAGAGGUGAAAUUCUUGGAUUUGUUAAAGACGGACUACUGCGAAAGCAUUUGCCAAGGAUGUUUUCAUUGA